CAGUAGCCGACCUGAGAGGGUGAUCGGCCACAUUGGAACUGAGACACGGUCCAAACUCCUACGGGAGGCAGCAGUGGGGAAUAUUGCACAAUGGGCGAAAGCCUGAUGCAGCAACGCCGCGUGAGUGAUGAAGGCCUUCGGGUCGUAAAACUCUGUCCUCAAGGAAGAUAAUGCCGGUACUUGAGGAGGAAGCCCCGGCUAACUACGUGCCAGCAGCCGCGGUAAUACGUAGGGGGCUAGCGUUAUCCGGAUUUACUGGGCGUAAAGGG
RNAcentral lists this ribosomal RNA (269 nucleotides) under Clostridioides difficile. Its description in RNAcentral is "partial 16S ribosomal RNA". It matches the Rfam family "Bacterial small subunit ribosomal RNA", at positions 281 to 567 of the family's 1533-position model. Lineage: Bacteria; Bacillati; Bacillota; Clostridia; Peptostreptococcales; Peptostreptococcaceae. The record is from RNAcentral.